This 394-nucleotide ribosomal RNA is filed under the name Rhabdoblatta sp. ZW-2018. Its description in RNAcentral is "partial 12S ribosomal RNA". It matches the Rfam family "Microsporidia small subunit ribosomal RNA", at positions 752 to 1220 of the family's 1311-position model. The record is from RNAcentral. Lineage: Eukaryota; Metazoa; Arthropoda; Insecta; Blattodea; Blaberidae.
UAUUAUUUUGGACUUAAAAUUUAUUUAUAACUUGAGUAGUAUUAGUUAUAGACUUGAAACUUAAAGAAUUUGGCGGUAUCUUAGUCUAUUUAGAGGAAUCUGUUCCAUUAUCGAUAGUCCACGUUGAACCUUACCUAAUUUUGCUAAAUUUGUAUACCGCCGUUUAUUUGAAGAUCUUACUAGGGUAAUUUUCUUAAUAUUUUAUUAAAUAAAAUUUCAGGUCAAGGUGCAGUUUAUAAUUAGGUGGAGAUGGAUUACAAUAUAUUUAUAGACGGAAUUUAAGCUGUAACGUUUAUAUGAAGGUGGAUUUAAUAGUAAUUUUAAUAAGAUUAUUAAAGUGAUUUUAGCUCUAGGAUGUGUACAUAUCGCCCGUCACUCUCACUAUUAAGGUGAG